This 66-nucleotide transfer RNA is filed under the name Cyphosenus grouvellei. RNAcentral's name for it is "tRNA-Val". Lineage: Eukaryota; Metazoa; Arthropoda; Insecta; Coleoptera; Curculionidae. The record is from RNAcentral.
AAGUUAAAGCUUUGAAAAAGUUUUUUAUUUACAUUAAAAAGAAUAUUAUAGGAUAAUAUAGCUUGA